AGCAUUCCCAAAAGUCGUUGCUGUCUGUGAUCAUGCCAGGCAAGUCUUUAGUCCUCACCACAUAAGAUGAGGUUACAGAAGAUGAACUUUGAAAGUGGAUAAUAGGUCAUUUAUCAAUUCAUCAUUAAGCAAUAUUAUGCAGAAAGCAUUUUAAACAAGAAGCUGAUACACUACUAAUAAAACAAGAAAGAAAAAGCAUAAGCAUUUAGUGCUCUUAAUAAGUACAACAAAAUUAACAAUUAGUACUGUAAAUUUUGCAAUAAAGAGUUUUUAAUGUUAUAUCAAUGUGAAUUAAGGUCUAGAUAGAAGUGAAGAAAAACAUCCUAGUAAUGACUGACAACCAAUUAUAAUAUGGUGCUUUAACACAGCAUGAAGUGCAUAAUGCUUAGCAAACAAACCUCUAGAGAUUGCUUUGGCAUCCAAACUAAGGGUCAUAACAAGUGCAAUCUAAUUCUAAUUAUUAAGAGCAUCUCAUGACAUGAGCCACAAGUGAUUACAUAAACAGUCAGAAGAAAAAUUUAGAUCAUUAACAACAAAAAGAUUUACAUAGCAUUGAUUACAAUUUUCAUCUCAAUAGAACUCCUGAAAUUCUAGGAAUACAGGAAAAUUUUAUAUUUCUUCCGAAAAAUUUGAAAACUUCCACAAAAUGGCAUCAUGUCAUAUUUAAGUUAAAACAUCUUAACAAAAAGUGUUGUAGCUCAAAUAGAAUGCCAUAGAUAAGUACUAGAUCCACAAAAAUAAAAUAGGAAUGUACUUACACUAAAGAAGUUCACAAAGGCCAGAUCAUCUGGCAGAUCAGUGACAU
Molecule: unclassified non-coding RNA, 805 nt
Filed under: Hevea brasiliensis (rubber tree)
Lineage: Eukaryota; Viridiplantae; Streptophyta; Magnoliopsida; Malpighiales; Euphorbiaceae
Source: RNAcentral